Molecule: ribosomal RNA, 497 nt
Filed under: uncultured bacterium
Lineage: Bacteria
Description: partial 16S ribosomal RNA
Rfam family: Bacterial small subunit ribosomal RNA
Source: RNAcentral
GAUGAACGCUGGCGGCGUGCUUAAUACAUGCAAGUCGAGCGAACAGACGCGGAGCUUGUUCCUUUCACGUUAGCCGCGGACGGGUGAGUAACACGUGGAUACCCUCCCUAUCUUACUGGGAUAUCUUCGGGACACCGGCGCUAACACCGGAUAAUCUCUUGAACCGCAUGGUUCAUUGGUGAAAGUCGGUUUUGCGGUCUCUUAUCGCUGGAUCCGCGCCGCAUUAGCUAGUUGUUAAGGUAACAGCUUACGAAGGCAACGAUGCGUAGCCGACCUGAGAGGGUGAUCGGCCACACUGGAACUGAGACACGGUCCAGACGCCUACGGGAGGCAGCAGUAGGGAAUCUUCCGCAAUGGGCGAAAGCCUGACGGAGCAACGCCGCGUGAGUGAUGAAGGUCUUCGGAUCGUAAAACUCUGUUAUUAGGGAAGAACAAAUGUGUAAGUAACUAUGCACGUCUUGACGGUACCUAAUCAGAAAGCCACGGCUAACUACGUG